AGUGAACGCUGGCGGUAGGCCUAACACAUGCAAGUCGAACGGCAGCACAGUAAGAGCUUGCUCUUACGGGUGGCGAGUGGCGGACGGGUGAGGAAUACAUCGGAAUCUACUUUUUCGUGGGGGAUAACGUAGGGAAACUUACGCUAAUACCGCAUACGACCUACGGGUGAAAGCAGGGGAUCUUCGGACCUUGCGCGAUUGAAUGAGCCGAUGUCGGAUUAGCUAGUUGGCGGGGUAAAGGCCCACCAGGGCGACGAUCCGUAGCUGGUCUGAGCGGGUGACCAGCCACACUGGAACUGAGACACGGUCCAGACUCCGACGGGAGGCAGCAGUGGGGAAUAGUGGACAAUGGGCGCAAGCCUGAUCCAGCCAUACCGCGUGGGUGAAGAAGGCCUGCGGGUUGUAAAGCCCUUUUGUUGGGAAAGAAAAGCAGCAGGUUAAUACCCCGCUGUUCGGACGGUACCCAAAGAAUAAGCACCGGCUAACUUCGG
Molecule: ribosomal RNA, 491 nt
Filed under: uncultured bacterium
Lineage: Bacteria
Description: partial 16S ribosomal RNA
Rfam family: Bacterial small subunit ribosomal RNA
Source: RNAcentral